GGGGGUUAGCGUUGUUCGGAAUUACUGGGCGUAAAGCGCACGUAGGCGGACUGGAAAGUUGGGGGUGAAAUCCCGGGGCUCAACCUCGGAACUGCCUCCAAAACUAUCAGUCUAGAGUUCGAGAGAGGUGAGUGGAAUUCCAAGUGUAGAGGUGAAAUUCGUAGAUAUUUGGAGGAACACCAGUGGCGAAGGCGGCUCACUGGCUCGAUACUGACGCUGAGGUGCGAAAGUGUGGGGAGCAAACAGGAUUAGAUACCCUGGUAGUCCACACCGUAAACGAUGAAUGCCAGUCGUCGGGUAGCAUGCUAUUCGGUGACACACCUAACGGAUUAAGCAUUCCGCCUGGGGAGUACGGUCGCAAGAUUAAAACUCAAAGGAAUUGACGGGGGCCCGCACAAGCGGUGGAGUAUGUGGUUUAAUUCGAUGCAACGCGAAGAACCUUACCAGGGUUUGACAUCCUGCGAAUCUCUUGGAAACGAGAGAGUGCCUUCGGGAGCGCAGUGACAGGUGGUGCAUGGCU
Molecule: ribosomal RNA, 520 nt
Filed under: uncultured Paracoccaceae bacterium
Lineage: Bacteria; Pseudomonadati; Pseudomonadota; Alphaproteobacteria; Rhodobacterales; Paracoccaceae
Description: bacterial SSU rRNA
Rfam family: Bacterial small subunit ribosomal RNA
Source: RNAcentral